UAAACUGCUUUUAUAAGUGAAGAAUAUGACGGUAACUUAUGAAUAAGCACCGGCUAACUACGUGCCAGCAGCCGCGGUCAUACGUAGGGUGCAAGCAUUAUCCGGAGUGACUGGGCGUAAAGAGUUGCGUAGGUGGUUUGUUAAGCGAAUAGUGAAAUCUGGGGGCUCAACCUCACAGACUAUUAUUCGAACUGGGAGACUCGAGAAUGGUAGAGGUAACUGGAAUUUCUUGUGUAGGAGUGAAAUCCGUAGAUAUAAGAAGGAACACCAAUGGCGUAGGCAGGUUACUGGACCAUUUCUGACACUGAGGCACGAAAGCGUGGGGAGCGAACGGGAUUAGAUACCCCGGUAGUCCACGCCGUAAACGAUGGAUACUAGCUGUUGGAGGUAUCGACCCCUCCAGUAGCGAAGCUAACGCGUUAAGUAUCCCGCCUGUGGAGUACGGUCGCAAGACUAAAACAUAAAGGAAUUGACGGGGACCCGCACAAGCGGUGGAUCAUGUUCUUUAAUUCGAUGAUAAACGAUGAACCUUACCAGGGCUUGAAAUCCCGAGAAUUAAUCCGAAAGGAUUGAGUGCUUUAUUGAACUCGGUGACAGGUGUUGCAUGGCCGUCGUCAGCUCGUGUCGUGAGAUGUUUGGUUAAGUCCAUUAACGAGCGCAACCCUUAUCAAUAGUUGGAUUUUUCUAUUGAGACUGCCCCGGCAACGGGGAGGAAGGAGGGGAUGAUGUCAGGUCAGUAUUACCCUUACGUCCUGGGCUAGAAACGUGAUACAAUGGCCGGUACAAUGCGCAGCGAAGCCGCGAGGUGAAGCAAAUCGCAUCAAAACCGGUCCCAGUUCGGAUUGGAGGCUGAAACUCGCCUCCAUGAAGUCGGAAUCG
This 879-nucleotide ribosomal RNA is filed under the name uncultured bacterium. RNAcentral describes it as "bacterial SSU rRNA". It matches the Rfam family "Bacterial small subunit ribosomal RNA", at positions 426 to 1334 of the family's 1533-position model. The record is from RNAcentral.